Sparus aurata (gilthead seabream) is the source of this 1886-nucleotide long non-coding RNA. The record is from Ensembl. NCBI's taxonomy places the organism in Eukaryota, Metazoa, Chordata, Actinopteri, Spariformes, Sparidae.
GCCUGGUAGCGAUACUGGCCAGGACAAUACACGCAAGUAUUAUGUCGCAUGCUCCCUGUGGUUCCACUCAUAAGUAGUUAAGGCAUGCAAAGCGUCUCUUCAGAAGAUUUAAACGCUCAAUUGCACAUCUUGUUUUGCAAUGAGCAGUGUUGAAGCGUGCCUGCGCUGGUGUGGUUGCUGCAAGGAAAGGAGUCAUCAGCAAUGGUAGAAGUGGAUAGGCUCUGUCUCCUAAUAUUAGGAUUAAAUGUUUUGAACAACUGGCCCUCUGAGAAAUUAAGGCAUGCAGCACAGGUCUGAAAACAAACAAACAAACAAACAAACAAACAAACAAACAAAAAACUAAAAAAAAAAAAAAAAAAAAAAAAAAGCCCGACACCACACGUCAGGGUUCAGCAUAUGGCGAACGGUCUUUUUUUAAAUUCAACUUGCACACUGCUUUAUUAAAAUGGUACACUGUAAAAAUUAGUUGUGCCCAUUAGUCAUGAUAACUUCUAAUUUAUUGUCAGUAUGACUACAAAUCAUUGAAACAGUUGUGAUAACUCAGAAUUUUGUGUUUAUGUCUUCUCAACUAGUGAAAAGUUUUCAAACUAAGAAACAUGAUUCAAUUGAAAUGAAGAAUGACAGUCAAACUGAUGUAAGCAUAAUCGCUUCUGUCAUUGGCUGUCAAAGGCUGACGUAGGCACUUCAACUAACGUUCCAAAACCGUUGAUGCUGCCCGCCUUUUCUCCCUCUUUCACCACAUCCACAAUCACAUCUGUUCGCAUAGUUGGAUUAACUAUUCUGCUGGAAUAUGAGGUAAGUUAAUUAAGAUAGCUAGCUUUAAGUGAUAGCUAAACAUUUGGAACAUAAUUGUUUUAUAAUUAUAAUUUAUAUUAUAGUAUAUGUUUAGCCUUUUAUUUGCAUUAAUCACCAGAGACGACCAGAUGUACCUGCCUCUGUUCAGAUGGCAUUAAUGUCGUUUGGAACAAAAUUCUAGCUCAGCAAAACCUAUAUCUAAAGAUGUUUGAAUAUAAAAGAGAGAAAACUAUUUUUCAAAGCCUUUGGUUGAUAUCUCUGAUAUCCCUAAACUUGUGUGUAACUGCGGUGUCGCGCAUGACCCCGCCUCCCUGUCUGCAGUGCCAGCCGAGCUGAUUCUGUGCCCCGCUAGUGAGCUCAAUGUACGGAGAAACCAUCAGCCGCUGCACGGAGACACGCUCCUUUCUUUCUCCUCAGAAGAAACGGGUGUCUGCUCCCCAGUUUGUCAUCAAGGUGGGUUGAAUUAAAUUGCUUUUGUCUUGUAUUUCUUUUGUAACUUGGUAAGUUAACUGUAGAUAACUCUGUAAGCUAGCGACUGCUAAAUUAGCAGUAGCUAACUUGGUAAGCUAGCAACUGCUGAUUUAGCAGUAGCUAACGUAGCUUGUAGUAAUAUUGAUGUUGUAACAGUUAGCUAGUUUCAGCCCAGCUCGGGUGGAUUGGGUUUUCAGGGGUAUGUCAUGAUGACCACGAGACUCUAGGUCUCACGUCCAAGUUCUCAUAAAGUUAAAAAACACAAAAACACAUUCACAACGGAUAAUGUAACAGCGCGAAAAAGAGCCACGCAUGCGCACAUACAGAGAGCGGCACAGCGCGUUGUCUGCUGUGCUGUCACGUUAAUUUAUUCAGAGAAUAGAGAAAUAUCCACAGGCUAUUUAAGUGUAAUUUAUUCCCGUGCUAAGAGUAAUCUCAGUCAUAUGCAUGAUGCAUAAUGUUGCAUAAAGGAGGAGGGGAGGGUGCGGCGCGUCCUCUCUGGCUCUAGUUGCCCAAGCUGCAGUCUGUUCACGACGCUGCCGUUAGGCAGGUGGUUCAGGAGCAUCCAAACCAGGACCAGCAGGUUCAGAGACAGCUUCUGCCCGCACGCCAUCAGACUA